This 1456-nucleotide long non-coding RNA is filed under the name Erythranthe guttata (spotted monkey flower). RNAcentral describes it as "long non-coding RNA (EGUT_LNC003045)". Lineage: Eukaryota; Viridiplantae; Streptophyta; Magnoliopsida; Lamiales; Phrymaceae. The record is from RNAcentral.
UAUAUAUAUAUAUUGUUUACAAAAUUACAUUGUACAAAAACCAUAAUAGAGCGGCUAACAAAAUGAAAUCAGAGUUUCUAGCUCGGCUACAAAAAUGGCUCGAAGCAUGGCAUAUGAACAAAACUCUGUCUGGCCGCCCUUGGCUAGGUCAACUUCUAAACAUGUACAUCAUUACCUGCAUCAUAAGAACCUAAUGAGCUAAUGGCUCAGCAAGUUGAAACUGAUGUAAUAGCAAUAUAUCACAUAACACGUUAUUCAUUCAAUAUGUACAAUAUCACAUAUAACUUCAUUCAUGAUCCUUUUCUUUGAAAUCCUUCUUUUUAUCGGGUACCCUUGAAGUGUGGUACUUGACUGAUAGCAAUAGACUUUUAUUUUCGGAACCUGUUCAUCUUAUUUGGCCAAUAAAUAAUACGGGGGUUUCCAUACCGGCCUUUCGACCUCAGGUAUUAGCCGUAUUUCAUCUCUUUAAUUGUGGGUUUUCCAUACUGGUCUUUCGACCUCAGGUAUUUGCCACCAUGUGUUGGGUUCGCCGGUUCCUCCCGCGUCCCUUGCCUACUCGACCAUCAAUCAAGUACCAUACUCCCAUUUUCGAAAACAUAUUCUUUCACAUCACUAUGAAUCAUCAAUCAUUCAAACAUCAUGGAGAACAUGUAGCAAAAGUCACAUUAAAGCACACAUAAUUAGGUUCUUAUGAUGAACAAAUGAAAGCUUCAACUUACCUCAAGAUGAAUAAUGGUUUAUGUAAUGAAAGGAUCAGUCUUAGAUAAGGUGUGCUAGAAGCCUUGAUUAGAGAUGAAUUCAAACUUCAAAACAUAGGAUUUUCAUCUAGAAAAGGUGCAGAACUUGUUCUAGCUCUACUUCUAUGAGUUUUUAUGGUUUGAUGUUCUCUUAUGUGAAUAUGGAAGUGAAGAAAUAAGAAGAAAAGCUUAAGGGAUUGGUCUGGUCGUUUUUUGGAAGAAGACAAGUGAAAUGAAGACCAAAACACAAAAGUCUUCACUUAUCUACCCAUUUCCAACAAGGCCAAAUGGAGGAUGAUGAUUGGAAGGCUUAUAUUUGCUGGAUUCUUGUGGUUCCUCCACGUUUUUCUAGCUUGAGAUAAGAUAUGGGCUGAUGCUUACUCAUUAUAAUCAAGUGUAAACAAUUUGAGAAUGGUCUUGUGCAACCUAGUCAACCAACCAAUCAAAAUGCACCCUUUUGCAUACUUUUGAUUUUAGUCUAAUAUGAGUUACUUCAAGUAAUUACAUAUGAAAUUAAUCAUUUUAAAAUGUAAUUAAAAUGCAGAACUGCAAUUAAGACAAAUAUAUCUGCGUUUAGCAAAUUGAUCCCUUCUUAACCGAGAAACUGGGCUUCUCACUACAAUAAAUCACUUAAGUCUCAUGUUAAAUCAUAAAGUAGAAGUUCAAUAACAUGUAUCAUGUAUCAGCACAUUUUAAGAAAAGUAUUCGGUCACGUAUUA